CCAAUAGCGUAUAUUAAAGUUGUUGCAGUUAAAAAGCUCGUAGUUGAAUUUCGGGAUCAAUACGUCGGUCGUGCUUCGGUACGUACUGGCGUCAUUGAUUUCUCCCUUCUGACGAGCCAUGAUGUCAUUAACUUGGUGUCAUGGGAAAUCAGGACUGUUACUUUGAAAAAAUUAGAGUGUUUAAAGCAGGCUCACGCUUGAAUAUAUUAGCAUGGAAUAAUGAAAUGGGACGUUCGAUCCUAUUUUGUUGGUUUUUAGGAUCAACGUAAUGAUUAAUAGGGAUAGUUGGGGGCAUUAGUAUUCAAUUGUCAGAGGUGAAAUUCUUGGAUUUAUUGAAGACUAACUACUGCGAAAGCAUUUGCCAAGGAUGUUUUCAUUAAUCAAGAACGAAAGUUAGGGGAUCGAAGACGAUCAGAUACCGUCGUAGUCUUAACCAUAAACUAUGCCGACUAGAGAUCGGAUGAUGUUAAUUUUUUAAUGACUCAUUCGGCGCCUUACG
This 499-nucleotide ribosomal RNA is filed under the name uncultured Glomeromycotina. RNAcentral's name for it is "partial small subunit ribosomal RNA". It matches the Rfam family "Eukaryotic small subunit ribosomal RNA", at positions 591 to 1092 of the family's 1831-position model. Lineage: Eukaryota; Fungi; Glomeromycota. The record is from RNAcentral.